UAAUCUUUUUUCUUUCAAAGGAUACAAAGAUAGUAAAAUGAAUUCAGUAGAGACAAUAGAACAAAGAAGAAUCAUCUAAGAUUCAUUUUAGAAUACUUAAGUCAGCAAGACUCACAUCUGGGGUAGAUUCACCUUCCUGGUGAAUUUGCACCAAGAAAAUUCAAACAGGAGCAUGAAAGAAAACUGUGAGCUUGUUUGCACGUGGUAAGAAGCAGGAACAGGGGAAAUGACAGUCAUCAUUAAGCAAAACAAACAGGAAGGAAAGUAAGGAGAGUGCAGAAAAAGAGUGGCAGGAUUGUGAGGAGAAUAGGCAAAGGAUGGAAUUAUCCAGCCACUCCUCAGGAAUGACUGAGAUUCAGUAAGCGUAUCUUAGAUAAGUAAAGCUACUUUUAGCUUUUUUUUCUGCUAAUUAACCUCAAUGAUGACUUGGCUAACUAGGGGUCUGGACAAUGUGAUCAUUACAGUGUCUGUGUGUCCAUAACAGCAGACAUGUCUCCCAUUUUGCCAGCGGGUUCCAAUUUACUGGACAUGAAAUAAAUGUAAAGAAGCAGGGGUUAUAUUUCACCUUGUGUAUGCCUGAAGUAGUAAAAACAAUAACAGAUUUGGCUGAACUUAGCAAACUCACAUUAGAAAGCAGCAUGGUGAAGUGGCUGCAGCCUUAGUACUGAGCACUACCUACAAAAAGGUCAGGCACCUUUCUAGUUAUGCCUCCUUGUAAAAUGGAGAUAGACAGCCUGUAGAGCUUGCUGUACAGCUGAGUGUAUGCCUAGUACAAAUUGAAUACUGCAAGGUUUUUACAACAAUUCUGUAGAGUUCCACUAAGCAUGUAAGAACAUUGCUUUUGAAAGACUUUAUGGGCUGGCCAAUCAGUGUAAAUAAUCAAGCAGAAGUAAUGGCCACUUUUGUGUCCUCAAGAUGAGUCCUUUGCUAGAAUUGAAAUCCACUGUAAGGAAAACAAAGACAGUAGGGCUCUUCAAAGGGAGAACUGGAGAUGCUGUGACUCAGGCAAACUCUCUCUUCAUCUCACUUUAGUCUUGUACACAUAAUGAAACAUUAACUGCAAGCAUUACUGCUAUCUCUACUUAUGGUAAAUAAAAGGAGCACAGGCAGCUAGCAAAGUCUACAGUGUGCCGUUUCCCUUGCCAUCAUCUCAUGUUAAACUUUACCCAGCACUGUUUACUGAGAUAACACUACACAGAAAAUAGAGAAGAAAACUUUUCCUCAUCCAGCUUACUGUGUUUCUGCAGUGAAGGUCUGAUCAAACAUGAGUUGCUGCUUGAAGUAGGGCAUGUUUCUCUACCUUUCAUUUUGGGAAACAAAGGAGUUCCACACUAAAUUGGACAGACAGAAAGAUCUUUAGCCCAUUGAACCAGGAAGAGCCAUUUUAUUAAAGCUGUAUGAGCAUUCUGCAGCAAAAGACUAGAGAUACCACUACCGAGUCUGCUUUCUGAAGAAAGAAAAUGUAGAAGUCAAUUCUGUCCCUUUUGAGCCUUUGCAGCGCCAGGUGUCAUUUAGGGAAGACAGACCUGAGUGCUCAGCAGCUGCCUACAAUCAGCUGAAAAAGCCUCAAACAACCUUCUUCUGAACCUUCCUAAGAACAAGUGGAAGAGUGGGGGAAGAGUGGGAGAAGUAUCACAUUGAGUGCUGGAGGACAAUUUAAGCUCUAUUGAGGCCUGAUUUCUGUCCUUGCUUGGUGCUGUAAUUGAGUCAGGUGCUUUGUCAGAACAAGGAACAGAAGCUUAAAGCCAUGAAUUUUGCAUAAUCUUUUAUGCUGGGAGAUGCAAUAUGGCUUUUUAAUAAAGAAUUUAGAAAAAUGCUGUUUGACAUUGUCUUAAACUUUUAUUUUUAGUCAUUCUGUCACUUCUCUUGAUCUGGGUGUGUUUAUUAGCAUCAUUCCUCAUGGACUGCCUUAGUAGGUAUAUCAUGUAUUCUGAUCGCAUAGCUUCUAUUCAUCUAUAAUGCUGUUGAGUCAGAUGCAGUCAUAUUUGAACGCUUAAUAGUUUAACCUUGAUAUAAAUGGUAGUCAAAUCUUUUUCACCACACCCAAAUAUGUUCCCGACUAGUCAUCAAUUUCUACUUCUAUUCCCCUGUCAUUAUUAUAAUU
Molecule: long non-coding RNA, 2104 nt
Organism: Coturnix japonica (Japanese quail)
Lineage: Eukaryota; Metazoa; Chordata; Aves; Galliformes; Phasianidae
Source: RefSeq, a predicted model, not a curated record